GGCAGGGGUCUGCGAAGGGAGGGGUUGCGCUGGAGGAAAGAGCCCCUUCAGGAGAAGGAGGCUGCCGUUGUAGUAUGACGGUAAUUCCGGUGGACAAGCCUGUGUCUUCCCCUUCAUCUACAAGAGCCAGACAUUCUACACCUGCACCAAUGAAGAUGCUGCCCAAGGGAGAUUCUGGUGUUCCACAACCGGGAGUUACGAUAAGGAUGAGCAGUGGAGCUACUGUGCCGACACAAGGCUAAGUUCAAGUCUGACAGGGCCGUGCAUCUUCCCCUUCAGCUACAAGAACAAGUCCUACUCAUCUUGCACAACAGAUGGGUCAUCGGAUGAAAAACCAUGGUGCUCUCUCACCAAGAACUAUGAUGUGGAUCCAAAAUGGACAUACUGCAACCCCUCAGGUGACUCGAACCAAAGAGGUGAAGACUAUGGAUGCCUGUGAUUCCAGCGGUGGCAAUUUCCCAAUAACCUGACCAACAUUUGACUAGCUCUUCCUGGCUUCCCUUUGAACUGUAAAAAUGUAGUGUUCCUCAUAGUUGGUGUGGCCCAGCCCCAGCCCCUCCCCCAUUUCUCUUGCUUGCAAUCUGUAUGUUUUCUCAGAGCACAGUCUUAGAGCACAGGAUAUAGCCAUCUUGCUGAACCUAAGCAGUUCUGAUCAGUGUCUGGAUGGGACAUCAACUGGGAACCUUUGGAAUGCCACUUGAAUCCCAUGAUGGAAGCCCAUGAUCCCAUUCGGCUGGUGGCCCCACAGGGACGGGCCUUCUCGGUUACUGCCCCGAGACUGUGGAAUGUGCUCCAUACUGAGAUACGAUCUUCCCCAUCUCUGACAAUUUUUUAAAAGCAUUUGAAAACCCACCU
Hemicordylus capensis (graceful crag lizard) is the source of this 855-nucleotide long non-coding RNA. RefSeq lists it as uncharacterized. NCBI's taxonomy places the organism in Eukaryota, Metazoa, Chordata, Lepidosauria, Squamata, Cordylidae. The transcript has 4 exons. The record is from RefSeq and is a predicted model, not a curated record.